GUAGGUGGCAAGCGUUGUCCGGAAUUAUUGGGCGUAAAGCGCGCGCAGGCGGUUCUUUAAGUCUGAUGUGAAAGCCCACGGCUCAACCGUGGAGGGUCACUGGAAACUGGAGAACUUGAGUACAGAAGAGGAAAGCGGAAUUCCACGUGCAGCGGUGAAAUGCGUAGAGAUGUGGAGGAACACCAGUGGCGAAGGCGGCUUUCUGGUCUGUAACUGACGCUGAGGCGCGAAAGCGUGGGGGAGCAAACAGGAUUAGAUACCCUGGUAGUCCACGCCGUAAACGAUGAGUGCUAAGUGUUAGGGGGUUUCCGCCCCUUAGUGCUGCAGCUAACGCAUUAAGCACUCCGCCUGGGAGUACGGCCGCAAGGCUG
This 371-nucleotide ribosomal RNA is filed under the name uncultured organism. Its description in RNAcentral is "partial 16S ribosomal RNA". It matches the Rfam family "Bacterial small subunit ribosomal RNA", at positions 527 to 896 of the family's 1533-position model. The record is from RNAcentral.